Molecule: ribosomal RNA, 440 nt
Filed under: uncultured bacterium
Lineage: Bacteria
Description: partial 16S ribosomal RNA
Rfam family: Bacterial small subunit ribosomal RNA
Source: RNAcentral
CCUACGGGAGGCAGCAGUGGGGAAUAUUGCACAAUGGGGGAAACCCUGAUGCAGCGACGCCGCGUGAGUGAAGAAGUAAUUCGUUAUGUAAAGCUCUAUCAGCAGGGAAGAAAAUGACGGUACCUGAGUAAGAAGCCCCGGCUAACUACGUGCCAGCAGCCGCGGUAAUACGUAGGUGGCAAGCGUUGUCCGGAUUUACUGGGUGUAAAGGGCGUGUAGCCGGGUUGACAAGUCAGAUGUGAAAUCCUGCGGCUUAACCGCAGAACUGCAUUUGAAACUGUUGAUCUUGAGUACUGGAGAGGCAGACGGAAUUCCUAGUGUAGCGGUGAAAUGCGUAGAUAUUAGGAGGAACACCAGUGGCGAAGGCGGUCUGCUGGACAGCAACUGACGGUGAGGCGCGAAAGCGUGGGGAGCAAACAGGAUUAGAUACCCCAGUAGUC